AUUUGCUUUUACUAUCACAUCUUUUCUAAAUGAUUCAUAUUUUUCAUCUUGAAAAUUUGAGUCUCAUCAAACCUAUUUCCCUCCAUUUCUCUUGAUUUCCUCAUGAAAUGGAAGGGAGUAUUUAAUAGCAUCUCUUUUCAAGAUGUUGAGUUCCCACUCAAAUUAUGUCGUCUAAUUUUACAGUUUGUUAAAAGCACAACCUGUUUAUCCUUGAAUUACAAUACUACAUAAUUUUUUUACCUCAUCUUAGUUUCUUUCGACAGGAUUGAUUCCCUCGUCAGAGAACUGCCAUUCACGCACUAUCCACCUCACUAUAAGAAAGGGUGAUUAAUAAUAUCGAUAACCUCAAAAAGGAAUGCAUAAGUGAGCGUGUCCUCAGCUUUAAGAGUUUACUAGUUAUAGUCUCUGAAAAUUGAUUUCACUAGGGUUCUUGAGUCGCAUUCUUAAAAUCAUGCAUCAAUAGUAGUGGGUUUUUAUUUCUGUUUCAUAAAUAGUGUACUAUGCGUUUAUCGUGCAAAAAAUAGGAGGGGCUUUCUAGUAAUUUUUGAUUCCUUAAAAGGGCUUUUGAAGAAGGGAAUCUUCACAUUAUAGCUCUUAAAUAAUUCCUUCUUCCAGGACCUUCACUUCUUUCGGAAUGUUAAUAACAGAGAAGGUGGGAGUUAUUUUCACUGCUUGCUCUUUGCAUUUGUUUCAGUUGUUUGUUAGCUAAGGCUAGAUAUAAGGACUUUGUAGUUGAAUUCUUGAAAUUAGUUUUUCCAAUAACAUUCCAUAACACCUUAUUUGUCUCUCAGAAGAUCAUUUUCUGGUCUCUGUUGAUGAAGUGAAUGUGUUUAGAAGCUCUUGUUUGGCAAGGAGAAAGGUCUUAUUCUCAUCUACUUUUACACUCUGAAUUGGCAUAGGUGGUUUGAAUUUUAAACAGUGAUUAUACUUUUCAAAAUCAGGUUUUAUAUUUCAAUCUGCUAUGGGAUAGGGUGGUAUUAUUGGCUUCUUUACAUGCGUAUACUUCAGGGACAUUCUGAGGAGUCCUUUUAAGUGUUAAUAAGAAUUUAGGGUUUAGGGUUUAAGUGUUAAUAAGAAUUGUGGGUUGGGCAAGUUCAACAUCUUCGGUACUUCUAUCCUUUUUAAGUUAAGAUACCUUACUUAUCAUCCAUGUUCUUUUCUUUUGUCUUCGUUCCUUUAGUAAUUUCUUUUUACAAAAUGCUAAGCACAGAAACUACGUACUACUUGAGGUGCAGAUUAUAAUAAGACUAUUUUGCUAUACUAGGCAGUUUGACAGGAAGCAGUAUUCUGCACUUUAUCUCCUUCAUCGGCCCUAUAUUAUCUAAUAUAUUGUCUGUAUAUUCCAUUAGCCAGAAGGUAUAAACUAUUGUAUGCAUAUUUCUCCAUAGGUGUGGUAGUAGAGGCCAAACCUCAACUUGUUGGAAUUCAUGAGCGGGUGCGAAGCGAUAUCGAGGCUAAAGACCAACCUCUGAUUAAAUCAGUUCCUAGCACAACACAGGAAGGAGGAAAGCGUGUACCAACAGUAGCCAAUCCAAAUGCAGAAGAUGCUGCAGAGCUACUGAGGUACAUUAUUUUGUUUUUCCUGAGAAUGUCUCUACCUAUUGGGGUUAAUAAUCUCUUCCUUUUCCCU
Molecule: long non-coding RNA, 1630 nt
Filed under: Ricinus communis (castor bean)
Lineage: Eukaryota; Viridiplantae; Streptophyta; Magnoliopsida; Malpighiales; Euphorbiaceae
Description: long non-coding RNA (RCOM_LNC003462)
Source: RNAcentral